Molecule: ribosomal RNA, 253 nt
Filed under: uncultured bacterium
Lineage: Bacteria
Description: partial 16S ribosomal RNA
Rfam family: Bacterial small subunit ribosomal RNA
Source: RNAcentral
UACGUAGGGCGCGAGCGUUGUCCGGAAUUAUUGGGCGUAAAGAGCUCGUAGGCGGCUUGUCACGUCGGGUGUGAAAGACCGGGGCUUAACUCCGGUUCUGCAUUCGAUACGGGCUAGCUAGAGUGUGGUAGGGGAGAUCGGAAUUCCCGGUGUAGUGGUGAAAUGCGUAGAUAUCUGGAGGAACACCGGUGGCGAAGGCGGCAUCCUGGACCGGUAUUGACGCUGAGGCGCGAAAGCCAGGGGAGCAAACGGG